AUUGAACGCUGGCGGCAGGCCUAACACAUGCAAGUCGAACGGUAACAGGAAGCAGCUUGCUGCUUCGCUGACGGGUGGCGGACGGGUGAGUAAUGUCUGGGAAACUGCCUGAUGGAGGGGGAUAACUACUGGAAACGGUAGCUAAUACCGCAUAACGUCGCAAGACCAAAGAGGGGGACCUUAGGGCCUCUUGCCAUCGGAUGUGCCCAGAUGGGAUUAGCUAGUAGGUGGGGUAACGGCUCACCUAGGCGACGAUCCCUAGCUGGUCUGAGAGGAUGACCAGCCACACUGGAACUGAGACACGGUCCAGACUCCUACGGGAGGCAGCAGUGGGGAAUAUUGCACAAUGGGCGCAAGCCUGAUGCAGCCAUGCCGCGUGUAUGAAGAAGGCCUUCGGGUUGUAAAGUACUUUCAGCGGGGAGGAAGGGAGUAAAGUUAAUACCUUUGCUCAUUGACGUUACCCGCAGAAGAAGCACCGGCUAACUCCGUG
Molecule: ribosomal RNA, 490 nt
Filed under: uncultured bacterium
Lineage: Bacteria
Description: partial 16S ribosomal RNA
Rfam family: Bacterial small subunit ribosomal RNA
Source: RNAcentral